This 452-nucleotide ribosomal RNA is filed under the name uncultured bacterium. RNAcentral's name for it is "bacterial SSU rRNA". It matches the Rfam family "Bacterial small subunit ribosomal RNA", at positions 365 to 807 of the family's 1533-position model. The record is from RNAcentral.
UUCGCAAUGCCCGAAAGGGUGACGAAGCGACGCCGCGUGCGGGAAGAAGGCCUUCGGGUUGUAAACCGCUGUCGGGAGUUAAGAAAUGCAAGGAUAUUAAUAGUGUCUUUGCUUGACUAAGGCUCCGGAGGAAGCCACGGCUAACUCUGUGCCAGCAGCCGCGGUAAUACAGAGGCGGCAAGCGUUGUUCGGAAUUAUUGGGCGUAAAGAGCACGUAGGCGGCUAUGUAAGUCGGUUGUGAAAGCCUUCCGCUCAACGGGAGAACAGCAUCCGAUACUGCAUGGCUUGAGUGCGGGAGGGGAGAGUGGAACUUCUGGUGGAGCGGUGAAAUGCGUAGAUAUCAGAAGGAACGCCGGCGGCGAAAGCGGCUCUCUGGCCCGUAACUGACGCUGAGUGUGCGAAAGCUAGGGGAGCAAACGGGAUUAGAUACCCCGGUAGUCCUAGCCGUAAAC